UAACCGGGAAGAACCUUACCAAGGCUUGACAUACACCGGAAACGGCCAGAGAUGGUCGCCCCCUUGUGGUCGGUGUACAGGUGGUGCAUGGUUGUCGUCAGCUCGUGUCGUGAGAUGUUGGGUUAAGUCCCGCAACGAGCGCAACCCUCGUUCUAUGUUGCCAGCGCGUUAUGGCGGGGACUCAUAGGAGACUGCCGGGGCCAACUCGGAGGAAGGUGGGGAUGACGUCAAAUCAUCAUGCCCCUUAUGUCUUGGGCUUCACGCAUGCUACAAUGGCCGGUACAAAGGGCUGCGAUACCGUAAGGUGGAGCGAAUCCCAAAAAGCCGGUCUCAGUUCGGAUUGAGGUCUGCAACUCGACCUCAUGAAGUCGGAGUCGCUAGUAAUCGCAGAUCAGCA
RNAcentral lists this ribosomal RNA (397 nucleotides) under uncultured bacterium. RNAcentral describes it as "bacterial SSU rRNA". It matches the Rfam family "Bacterial small subunit ribosomal RNA", at positions 956 to 1354 of the family's 1533-position model. The record is from RNAcentral.